RNAcentral lists this ribosomal RNA (385 nucleotides) under uncultured bacterium. RNAcentral's name for it is "bacterial SSU rRNA". It matches the Rfam family "Bacterial small subunit ribosomal RNA", at positions 28 to 416 of the family's 1533-position model. The record is from RNAcentral.
GACGAACGCUGGCGGCGUGCUUAACACAUGCAAGUCGAGCGGAAAGGCCCUUUCGGGGUACUCGAGCGGCGAACGGGUGAGUAACACGUGAGUAAUCUGCCCUUGGCUUUGGGAUAACCACCGGAAACGGUGGCUAAUACCGGAUAUGACGGGCUCCGGCAUCGGGGUUCGUGGAAAGUUUUUCGGCCAGGGAUGUGCUCGCGGCCUAUCAGCUUGUUGGUGGGGUAAUGGCCUACCAAGGCUUCGACGGGUAGCCGGCCUGAGAGGGUGACCGGCCACACUGGGACUGAGACACGGCCCAGACUCCUACGGGAGGCAGCAGUGGGGAAUAUUGGACAAUGGGCGGAAGCCUGAUCCAGCAACGCCGCGUUGAGGGAUGACGGCC